AGUGAACGCUGGCGGUAGGCCUAACACAUGCAAGUCGAACGGCAGCACAGUAAGAGCUUGCUCUUACGGGUGGCGAGUGGCGGACGUGUGAGGAAUACAUCGGAAUCUACUCUUUCGUGGGGGAUAACGUAGGGAAACUUACGCUAAUACCGCAUACGACCUACGGGUGAAAGCAGGGGAUCUUCGGACCUUGCGCGAUUGAAUGAGCCGAUGUCGGAUUAGCUAGUUGGCGGGGUAAAGGCCCACCAAGGCGCCGAUCCGUAGCUGGUCUGAGAGGAUGAUCAGCCGCACUGGAGCGUAGACACGGUCCAGGCUCCUGCGAGAGGCAGCAGUGGGGAAUAUUGGACAAUAGGCGCAAGCCUGAUCCAGCCAUACCGCGUGGGUGAAGAAGGCCUUCGGGUUGUAAAGCCCUUUUGUUGGGAGAGAAAAGCAGCAGGUUAAUACCCCGCUGUUCUGACGGUACCCGAAGAAUAAGCACCGGCUAACUACGUG
This 492-nucleotide ribosomal RNA is filed under the name uncultured bacterium. RNAcentral's name for it is "partial 16S ribosomal RNA". It matches the Rfam family "Bacterial small subunit ribosomal RNA", at positions 29 to 507 of the family's 1533-position model. The record is from RNAcentral.